Molecule: ribosomal RNA, 275 nt
Filed under: uncultured bacterium
Lineage: Bacteria
Description: partial 16S ribosomal RNA
Rfam family: Bacterial small subunit ribosomal RNA
Source: RNAcentral
CCUACGGGAGGCUGCAGUGGGGAAUUUUGCGCAAUGGGCGAAAGCCUGACGCAGCAACGCCGCGUGUGUGACGAAGGCCCUAGGGUUGUAAAGCACUGUGGGAGGGGAAGAAAAAACGGAUGUGUAAUCCGUCUUGACGGUACCCUGUUAGAAAGCACCGGCUAACUCCGUGCCAGCAGCCGCGGUAAUACGGAGGGUGCAAGCGUUGUUCGGAAUUAUUGGGCGUAAAGGGCGUGUAGGUGGCAUUCCAAGUCUGGUGUGAAAGCCCACGGCUC